This 433-nucleotide ribosomal RNA is filed under the name uncultured bacterium. RNAcentral describes it as "partial 16S ribosomal RNA". It matches the Rfam family "Bacterial small subunit ribosomal RNA", at positions 30 to 507 of the family's 1533-position model. The record is from RNAcentral.
AGCGAACGCUGGCGGCAGGCUUAACACAUGCAAGUCGAGCGGGCCCUCCGUGGUCAGCGGCGGACGGGUGAGGAACGCGGGGGAACGUGCCGUCUGGUCUGGAAUAACCCUGGGAAACUAGGGCUAAUACCGGAUACGCUCUGUUGGUGAAAGGUUUACUGACGGAAGAUCGGCACGCGUCCGUUUAGCCUGUCGGUGGUGUAACGGCCUAUCAAGGCUUGGCUCAGUAGCUGGGCUGAGAGGCUGAGCAGCCACACUGGGACUGAGACACGGUCCAGAAUCCUAGGGGAGGCAGGAGAGGGGAAUAUAGGAAAAUGGGGGCAAGGAUGAUCCAGCCAGGCCUGGUGAGUGAUGAAGGCCUUAGGGUAGUAAAGCUCUUUUAUACGGGACGAUAAUGACGGUACCGAAGGAAUAAGCCCCGGCUAACUUCGUG